Molecule: ribosomal RNA, 177 nt
Filed under: uncultured bacterium
Lineage: Bacteria
Description: partial 16S ribosomal RNA
Rfam family: Bacterial small subunit ribosomal RNA
Source: RNAcentral
UGGGGAAUAUUGCACAAUGGACGAAAGUCUGAUGGAGCAACGCCGCGUGAGYGAUGAAGGCCUUCGGGUCGUAAAGCUCUGUUGUCAGGGAAGAACAAGUACCGGAGUAACUGCCGGUACCUUGACGGUACCUGACCAGAAAGCCACGGCAAACUACAUGCCAGCAGCCGCGGUAAU